GUAGUCCAUCACUUCUACAUCUAUUUUAAAACUUUAUAAAGCUUUUACUAUAUUUUUAUAAAAAUCUAAAUGAUUAUUAUAUUCAUAAAGAUUUACAACUUUUGAAUAUAUUUUUGAACCAGCAUUUAUAAUUUCUUGUCUCUCUUGAGACAUAAACUAAAUUUUCUUCUAACACACACAUACACACACACAUUCAAUCUAUUUUCCCAUCCUAAUACAUACCAUCAAUGUUGUCACAUAGAUUUUGUAAUCUAAAUUUAUUAUCCUAAAUUAUGAGAGAUAUUACAUAUGCUAAAUAUCCCAUGAAUCUAACGAAUUAUUAGAAACAUAGAACAAUGAAUAAAUUAUCAGAACUUCUAAUAAUUUCAUAAAGCAUAGAAACCAAUAAGUUAUCACAUUCUUGCUAUAGGCAAAGAGGAUUUUUCUAUAAAAGAUUUUAACCAUUUGAUCUGAUCAAUGAUUCAAAAAUGUGGAGAAAUAAUAAAUUAAAUUGAAUGUCACGAUAUUU
Molecule: long non-coding RNA, 508 nt
Filed under: Citrus x clementina
Lineage: Eukaryota; Viridiplantae; Streptophyta; Magnoliopsida; Sapindales; Rutaceae
Description: Citrus clementina (C. clementina) long non-coding RNA (CCLE_LNC005197)
Source: RNAcentral